AAGAGAUGAACAUUUUGACAACUGUGUUCUUACGGUAUGAUGCGGAGAAGAUAUAUUAUCCCAAUUCUGUUCUUCUUACAAAGCCUAUCAGUAAUUUCAGAAGAAGUCCAGACAUGGGGGAUUCUAUUGACAUCACCAUUGAUGUGUCAACUUCUGUUGAUGACUUCAAUGCUCUUAAGAAAGCUAUACAACUGUAAGUUAUUAAUCUCAUUUGCAUUCAAAAUAUUUCUAGUGCUAGACAAAAUUACCUCUUAAAGUAAUUAGCUUGCCUAAAUCACACUUGUUUUGCUAAUAGAAAUCAAUAUUUUCUAGAUAUUAGUUAAUUAUUACCGAUUUUUCUAUAUAUAUCUAGCACAUUAUGUAACACAUAUAUUGGUAUUAUGCUGAUAAAAUGCAAAAGCUUUAGAGAUUGGUUAAUUGAUAAUUAGUAUUUUUAUUAGUUUUCAAGAAAAUACCAUUAUGGAAUACUGCAGAUACAUUGAGAGCAAACCAAAGCACUGGAACCCAAAGCACACAUUGCUGGUGAAGGAGAUAGAAAAUGUAAACAAGAUGAAGCUUACUCUAUGUGUUCAACACACCAUGAACCAUCAAAACUACGGGGAAAAGAGCGCUCGAAGAUCGGAGCUUGUUUUUGAACUAAAGAAGAUUUUUGACAACCUUGGCAUUAAGUGCCAUCUCCUUCCACAACAAGUACAUCUUAUGCAUGUAGAUAUGACCCGCAAUGGGGGAAUGUCAAUGUAAUCUUCAUACAAAUGCAAUUAUUUGGAGUGGAAAAAGAAAAUUAUCACACAUUCAAUAUGGCCAUAUACCAGCCAUUCUCUUGCAUGUAUUUUCUUUUCCUUUUGUUAACUUCUUUGCUGUAGCUUAAAUUACUGCGAGAAUUAAUGAUGGAAAAGAAAAAAAUUAUAUAUAGGGAGUGCUUUUAUAAUUAAUAAAAUUCUUUUCUCAUUUCAUAUCGAUCACAUUAGUAGCCCUGUAGUGAAUACUAUAUAUGAAUUUAUCGAUCAUGUUAAUUGACUCGGCUAGGGUAAUAUGAUUUCGCGUAGGGAAAACUUCGUUCUCUGACCGCGAUAGCCAGUCUUUUCAGACGGGAGAAUCAAAGAAGCUUGUGAGCUUACGAGCGAGUCGGUCCGGCUUGCAGGGGAUGCUCGGAAUAAUUGUUCUAUAUAGCAUUCUUCCCGGCUCAGACUAGCUCAGCUUGAGGAGCUUUAUCAGCAGAACUGAUGAGUUCAUCGUCCACCGCAGCAACCAGGACAACAUUAUUUGUGGCAAGAUGUUGGCCUCUGACGAAAUUUCAGGAGCAAUACAUGACAUUCUAGGAGCAACAAAUCCUGCUCAGCUCAGCAACCAACAACAACAAGUAAUUUAUGGAGAGACGUUGGAUCCUGACAAAAUCCCAUAAACAACAAUCGAAACUUCAGCAGCAACAAACUCUCCUCAGAUCAGCAACCAACAGGAUAAUGUAAUCUAUGGAGAGAUGUUGGGGGUUAAUUCACUUGAAUAGUAUGGACACAAAACAAAUGCUAAGUUACCACGUUAAUAGUGCAAACACAACGAAAAACAAAGCAUGCUAGAGGUGAAGAGAAACAGACCUGGAGACGAAGAAACCAUAGUGGCAUUUUUUUUGCAGAUUGUUUUUGCAGAAAAAUGGAGCAAAAAGCAUUUUUUCUAUCUUUCUUUUUUUGUUUUCUCUGCUCAUUCUUUCUUUUUCUCGCUGCCCCCACUAGGUCAUUAGAGAGGCUUAUAUAUAGUCUAAUAUAUCUCUAUUCAGAAAAGAUUUAAUGCAUUAAUUCUAGGAAGCAAAUCCCUACAGAUUUGCAAUAACAAAAAUGCAAAAAGGAAACUGAAAUAUUCUGAUUUCUAUUAUGAUUAUAGCAAUUAGUUUUCAUUGAUCAAAUGGUGGUAUAGCUCCUUUUUUUCCUUCCAUAGCUGUGACCAUGAAGUACCAGCUGCUCUCUUUUAAAUGAGACAAAAAAAAAACGUGGCCUUCAGCUCUCCAUUCAAGUGAGAGAAACAUGGAAACCAAACAUGAAAUUGCAAAUAAAAAGGAAAGAAAAAAACAGGCUAGCUGUGCAGGUUAAAACGUGGUUUCUCCAAUUUCUUCCUUCUACAAAAUUACUUCUAAUUUUAUCUUCAAUCAACUUCCUUGUUUUAGCACCUUUUCCAAUUGGUACUUGGUCCAAAAAAGGGCUUCAAACUUUAAGCAUCUUGCAAUUGUGUCCCUGCAAACUCGGGCAAAAAAAAAAUCCUUCUCGCUGUAGGAAUCUCUACUUUUACACUAGAUAUUCAAACAGGAAUAUCUUGAGCUUUUGAUAUCAAAAUCAAGCUAUUAAAAAGUCUAAAUUUAUCUACGCAUCCAGGACUACAACUUUGAUGAAGGAGUCAAAGUGAGAUAAAAUCGUUUCAGAAAACAAAUUCUAGCAUUAAUUUGGUUGAUGAAAAAGGGUCUCCAGAUCUAAUUCAUAAACUAACAAUGCCGAAUACCGCGAUAUGACUGACAGUAUGACCUAAGAACAAAUCAACAAAAUUUGUGACAUAAAUAGUGUUUUUAGUGCAAAACUUGGGUCAAGAUCCUUCUCGUGCCAGAGUUCUCUACUUUCAUGUUAGAUAUUCAAACAAGAAUAUCUUGAGCUUCUAAUAUCAAAAUCAAGCGAUUCAAAAAUCCAAAAUUUAUCUACCCGUCCAGGACUACAACUUUGAUGAAGGAGUCCAACUGAGAUAAAAUCCUUUGAGAACAGAAUUUGGCAGCAAUCUGGUUGAUAAAAAAGGAUCUCCUGAUCUAAUUCAGAAAUUGACAAUGCCGAGAAUCCUGAUAUGACUGAGAGUAUGACCUAAGAACAACUCAACAAAAUUUGUGAUGGAAAUAGAGUUUUUAGUGCAAAACUCGGGUCAGGAUCCUUCUUGCGGAAGAAUUCUCUACUUUCACGUUAGAUAUUCAAACAAGAAUAUCUUAAGCUUCUGAUAUCGAAAUCAACCAAUUCAAAAGCCCAAAUUUAUCUAUGCAUACAGGAAUAUAACUUUCAUGAAGGAGUCGAAGUGAGAUAAAAUCAUUUCAGAGAACAAAAUCUAGCAGUAAUCUGGUUGAUCAAAAAGGGUCUCCUGAUAUAAUUCAGAAACUGACAAUGCCAAGAAUCGUGAUAUGACUGAGAGUAUGAUCUAAGAAUAAAUCAACAAAAUUUGUGAUGGAAAUAGAGUUUUUAGUGCAAAACUCGAGUUAGGAUCCUUCUCGUGGUAGAAUUCUCUACUUUCAUGUUAGAUAAUCAAACAGGAAUAUCUUGAGCUUCUGAUAUCAAAAUCAAGUGAUUCAAAAUCCCAAUUUUAUCUACGUGUCUAGGACUACAACUUUGAUGAAGGAGUCGAACUGAGAUAAAAUCAUUCUAGAGAACAGAAUCUGGCAGCAAUCUGGUUGAUCAAAAAGGGUUUCCUAAUCUAAUUCAGAAACUAACAAUGCUGAGAAUCUCGAUAUGACUGAGAGGAUGACCUAAGAACAACUUAACAAAAUCUGUAACGAAAAUAGAGUUUUUAGUGCAAAACUCGGGUUAGGAUCCUUCUCGCGUCAGAAUUCUCUACUUUCUUGUUAGAUAUUCAAACGUGAAUAUCUAACGCUUCUGAUAUCGAAAUCAAGUGAUUCAAAAAUCUUAAAUUUAUCUACAGAUCCAGGACUACAACUUUGAUGAAAGAGUCGAAGUGAAAUAAAAUCGUUUUAGAGAAGAGAAUCUGGUUGAUCAAAAAGGGUCUCCUGAUCUAAUUCAGAAACUAACAAUGCCGAGAAUCCCGAUAUGACUAAGAGUAUGACCUAAGAACAAAUCAAUAAAAUUUUUGACGGAAAUAGAGUUUUUAGUGCAGAACUCAGGUCAGGAUCCUUAUCGUGGUAGAAUUCUCUACUUUCACGUUAGAUAUUCAAAAAGGAAUAUAUUGAGUUUCUGAUAUCUAAAUCAAAGGAUUCAAAAAUCCCAUUUAUCUAUGUGUCUAGGACUACUAAUAUGAUGAAGGAGUUGAAGUGAGAUAAAAUCAUUUUAGAGAACAGAAUUUGGCAGUAAUCUGGUUGAUAAAAAAGGGUCUCCUAAUCUAAUUUAGAAACUGACAAUGCCGAGAAUUCCAAUAUUACUGAGAGUAUGACCUAAGAAAAAAUCAACAAAAAAUGUUAUGGAAAUAGAGUUUUUAGGGCAAAACUCGGGUCAGGAUCCUUCUCGCGGUAGAAUUCUCUUCUUUCAUAUUAGAUAUUCAAACAAGAAUAUCUUGAGCUUCUAAUAACAAAAUCAAGCAAUUAAAAAUCCCAAAUUUAUCUAUGCAUCAAGGAAUACAACUUUGAUGAAGGAGUCGAAGUGAGAUAAAAUCGUUUUAGAGAAUAGAAUCUGGCAGUAAUCUAGUUGAUAAAAAAUGGUCUCCUGAUGUAAUUCAGAAACUGACAAAGUUGAGAAUCCCAAUGUGACUGAUAGUAUGACCUAAGAACAAAUCAAUAAGAUUUAUUAUGGAAAUAGAGUUUUUAGUGCAAAACUCGAGUCAGGAUCCUUCUCAUGGCAGAAUUCUCUACUUUCACAUUAGAUAUUCAAACGGAAAUAUCUUAAGCUUCUGAUAUCGAAAUCAACCAAUUCAAAAGCCCAAAUUUAUCUAUGCAUACAGGAAUAUAACUUUCAUGAAGGAGUUAAAGUGAGAUAAAAUUGUUUUAGAGAACAAAAUCUGGUAGUAAUCUGGUUGAUCAAAAAGGGUCUCCUGAUCUAAUUCAGAAACUGAAAAUGUUAAGAAUCCCGGUAUGAUUGAGAGUAUGACCUAAAAAAAAUCAACAAAAUUUGUGAUGGAAAUAGUGUUUUUAGUGCAAAACUCGGGCCAGGAUCCUUCUUGCGAUAUAAUUCUCUACUUUCACAUUAGAUAUUCAAAAAGUAAUAUCUUGAGCUUCUAAUAUUGAAAUCAAACGAUUCAAAAAUCCCAAAUUUAUCUAUGCAUCCAGGACUACAACUUUGAUGAAGGAGUCGAAGUGAGAUAAAAUCAUUUUAGAGAACAGAAUUUGGCAAUAAUCUGGUUGAUCAAAAAAGGUUCUUGAUCUGAGAAUGUCGAGCAUCUAAAUUUGACUGAGAGUCUGCCCUAAGAACAGUGAUCCCUAGGACCCAAUAAAGGUGUAGGUUAAUUUUUCAACAUGUCAUGAGUGACAGAAUAUAGCUAGGAUGGUCAGAUAUCGUACGAAACCAAGUCAGAAUCAGAGCCUAAGUUGGAACAAAAAAUCACGACAGCAGCAGAACCAGUUUUGUUUUUGUGCAAAUUAUGAGGGAUUUAUCCAACCUUAAAGACUAGAUAAAGAAAGAAUGAAUUUAGGAUUAUAAAAACUCCUGAUCAAUCUAAGAAAACCUGACGAUUUUGGCACUAUAGAGGAAGGAUAAAAGGAGUAGAAAACAACUCAAAUAGAGUUUCAAAAAAAAAAAAAAAUUCUUUCUCUGCUUUUGUCAAUCUUCUAGUAAACAUGAGCAAAACUCCUAUAUUUAAUUCAAAAGAGGUAUACACCGUCUCUAGCACAUAGGGUCCAAAAAUGAGUAACAACACCUGUUUUGUGGAUGAUUUUUUCAAAUACACUUGGAUUAUACCUUUGAUGGGGAAAUGUCUUAUUUAAGGAAAAUAACAGAUUUAUGGCAUCUUGUUCUUAGAUGGAAAAAUGUUUUGUUUAAGGAGUUGUCACUCAGUAUUAUGGUCAUUAGGAACCCUAACUAGUCAACAUAGAUUAUAUUAUAAGGGAUUGGUAACGUAAAAGGAAAGAUAUUAUUUCCCCAUAAAUGUCUUGCCUGAGGCAGAUUGCAUUGCUAGUUUUGUCUUAAAUUACUAAAAGUUUGUUAGUUUAUGCUACGAUGGUUUGAUUGUAAUAUUCCUGACUUUAGCGUUAAUAAAUAUUCAACUAGGGAUACUUCCAACUCUAGUGUUGGUAAAUAUCACUACCAGAAAAUCAACAAAUACAAACGGAAAUACCGAGGGAAUUACUGUGGGAAAAAAAAAUUAAAACAAAGCAAAAAAAAUGAUGACGUGUCAUUUUUUACCAACAGAAUUACUGGUUGAAUUAUUCGUAAACUGUUCAUCAUGUCAAUUACAAAGGGAAUUACUGACGGACAAUUCCGUUGAUAUUUUCCAGAGAGCUCCAGAACUGUUCAUUUUUCAAUUGCACUGUUAAUUGUUUUACUUUACGGACAAAAUCACCGACGGAUUGAAAAUUCGUUGGUGUGUUUUGGCUGUUUUCUGAAAAAAUUCAAUUGAUUUAAAAUUUUCAUUUAAAUAUUACAGACGGAAUCACCGACAGAUUGAAAAAUCAUCAGUAAUUUUUGGCGGUUUCUGAAAAUUUUUUAUGAAAUUAAAAAUUUAAAUUAAAUAGUACCGACGAAAUUAUCGACAGAAUAAUUAAAAAAUAUUAAUAUUCAAUUAUCCGUCGGUAAAUCCGUCAGUAACGCUCCCCAAUAAAAAACUUGAAUCCGCUUAUUUCACAAGAGAUAGACUCAUUAUUUCUUUUCAUUCUUCUACUACUUCUACUUCUUUUUCUUCUUCUUUUUCUUCUUCUUCUUCACUAUAUGUAAAAAACAUCAAUAUCUAUUUCUUUCUCUUCUUUUCUCUCCUCAUCUCCUUCUCUUUUCCUCCAUGCUUGGGUAUGUCUUCUUCUUCUUUCUUCUUUUAUCCUCUUAGUUUUUUUUUAAUUAAUAUGCUUUACGAAUUUUUUUUUCCUUAGCUUCACUUGCAAGUAUAUUAAGGUAAGAUUUUUCUUUUUUCUUAUUUUUUCAUGAUUUUUUUCACUAUAUUUUUUUUAUUUAAUUUUAAUUGAUUUUGUUCAUAAUAAUUGUAUAAAUGUUGUUGUGAGAUUUGUUUUUCAUAUAAAUCAAUUUUUAGUUGAUUUAUUUAUAGGAUUUUUAAAUUUUUAGCUAUUGCAACUUCAUUUUUUUCAUAUGAAUUUUUUUAGUUGAAUUAAGUUUUUUGUUUUAUUUAUUUGUUGCAAAUUUGUUUGAGUUGAUUAUCUUAUUCUUUUUUCCAAGCAUUUUGAGUAUAUAUUAUACAAUGUUGAUUUAUGUUAAUUUAAUUAUUUUAUAAAAUGAAUUUUUUUAAAAAAUGUUUUUAAAUAAUUACCGACGGAAAUUUCCGUCGAUAAAUCCGUAGGUAAUAAAAACAAAUUAGCGACGCGUCUGUUUCGCCAAUAAAUCCGGCGAUAAUAUCAUUACCGAUGAACAAAAAAUUAUCAACGAAAGAUUCACCGAUGGAAAUUCUUCGUCGGUGAUUUCAUCGGUAAAUUAAUUACCGAUGGAAUAUGUGUCUUACGCCGACGGAAAAAUUCCGUCGGUAAAACUAUUAAAUCUUGUAGUGUAUGAUGUAUGAUAUUCCUAACUCUAGCGUCAAUGAAUAAACCAAUAAAUUAAAUUUAAAUCAAUGCAUGCAUAUUUUUGUUUAUUUAUUUUUCUCUAAAAAUAAAAAUAAAACAUAUCGUACACUAGAUUUACAUUUCAUAAUAAAAAUCCAUAGAUUAAUUAUACAGUGAAAUACCUAAAAAAAUAUGAUGGACCUAAAAAUAAAUUCAAAAAGGUGCUUGUUUGACCACAUAUCAAAACAAAAAGGAAUACAAUAAAAGGGAUUGGCAUAAAGGUGUGUUUUGUCAAACACACUUUUGGCCAAAAUAGAUUGGCCGGAUGGUCACUGUGCAUGCAUGCCUGGAUUAUUCACGCAUGCUUUGCAUACAAUAUUUAUAUUUCUAAGGGGAGGGAAAACAAAAGCUUACUUGUGUAGUUGGGAAUGAAACCGACAAUGAUGGUGUAUCGGACGAUGCUCUUUCUGUUCCUCUUUUCGUUUGUUUUACCUUUGGUUGUUCUUUUCUUCAACUUUGUUUUCUCUAUUCGUAUUCUCUGGUUCCCUCCCUUUUUAUUUUUGUCCUUGUUUUUGUUUGUUUGCUUCUCUCUCUCUCUUUACUAGUCAUGUGUCGCUGGCAUUGAGAAGGACUCUGCUUUGAAAGGUGGAUGGCCAAAUCACGACUGAGGAUAGAGUUGCUGUUGAGGUUGUGGCUUUCGGUGAUGGCUGUCAUGAUGUUGUUGCACUGUUUUCUUGAGUUUGCUCAUGGUUGCUGGAGUUUUGAAGGAGAUUCUACGGUCUUUCUCCUCUGUUUCACUUUGCCUCCUGGUUUCCUCUCCCUACUAUUUUGUUUUAUUGUCUUUCUCUUUAUGAGUUUUUUUUAGCCUGUCUCUAUACCUCUCUUUUUUUAGUUCGCCUUUCUCUGGCCUUCUAUAAGGCCAGAGAGAGUAAAUGAAGUCGUUAACAAUCCUGCUCAUGGAGGACUGUUAAUCGAUUUGGAAACAGAAUCAUGGGUAGGAGACGUGGUCCGGGUUUAGUGUUAUUUCUUCCUGUAAAUGCAAUACCAGAAGUUCUCUUAAAACCAACGGAAUUACCAAUAAAAUAAUUUUGUCGAUUAUUUGCGGUGAUAAUUAUCGACAAACACUAUUCCAUCUGUAAUUUAGACGGUAUAUACUGACGAAAUACUGUGGUUUGUAUAUACCGACAGAAUUAUAAACAGAAUAUUCAGAAAUAAUAAAAAAAAAAAGCAGUUUGCUAAUGUGGAACUUUUUGUGGGCAAUUUUACUGAUGGAAGCACCGAGGGAUUCAAACCGGGAUCUCUGUAUAGUGACGUGACCAAUUCAUUGUCAGACUUGCCGACAGAAUCACCGACAGAGGUAUUUUGUUGGUGAUUCCGUCAGCAAAAGUUAAUACAUCACCACUCUGCCGACCCUCUCCUCCUUAUUUCUCCUUCUUCUCCCCAUCCCAACUCUACCCUCCCAAACUCCAAACAACCAGCCCAAAAAAAAAAAUCUCCCUAUUCUCAGCACAAGUCAUAUUUCUUUAAGUUUUGUGAUCACAACAUUCGUGCUCUAGUUUAUUGUGGAUUUUAUUAUUUUUUGUAAGUAAAUCUAUCUUUUUUAAUUUUAACAUUUAAAUGUCAAUUUUAUUUAUCUUUUAGUAUAUGUAUUUUGUUAAAGUACGUACAUAUUUUAUUGUUAUUUUUCAAACAAACUUAUAGUAUAUAAAUGUAUAAUUUUGUACUUGUUAUGGUUUGUUUUAGAUUUGGUAAAAUUGUAUUUCAUUGUAAAUUGUUGAAACUUUGUUGAAUUACCGAAUUACAUGUGUUGUGGUGAAAUAAUUAAUAGCUUGUUUAACAGGUCCGUUUUAAUUUUUAUCAAUGCUAUUGCGGAGUUGUAAUUUCCAUAAAUUUACAAGUAUAAAUUUAUAUGGAUGUUGAUAAUUGAUAAUGAAUAUUUAUGAGAAGUUGUAAUUAUCUUGUUGGUCAAAUUUAUUUACCUAACAUAGUUAAUUAAUACAUGUUGUCAUCAUAAUUUUAUAGAGAUUUGAUAAAAGUCAUGGAUGAUCAUUCAUGGAUGUAUCGAGAUUCACCUCAAGGAUUGCAGAGGAUGAAUUAUUGUAACAGAGUUCAGUAAUUUAUUAAUGUCGCAACAUCUAUUCCUAGAAAUUUUACUGAAAGCAAUAUUAGGUAUCCUGUAGGAAAUGUGAAAAUAAAAAGUAUAUGCAUUCAAAUGUUGUAAUAAUGCAUCUUCUACACAAAGGGUUUAUAGAAAAUUACUUGUGUCGGUAUGCACACGGAGAAGUAUUUGUUCGUAAUAAGAGCAUGGAAGAAAGGGUGGUUGGGUCAACUUCUAGUACUAACAACGUGUAUAGAGUUGCAAAUGACAAAAGUAAUUCUUAUAGGAAUAUGAUUAUGGAUGCAAUGAGAAUGAAUCAAAGUAAUGUCAGUCAAUGUCCAAUAGUAGAAGAAUAACCUAAUGUAGAUACAAUUAGGUUUUUGAUCUAUUGAAAGAUUAUAACGAAUCAUUAUGGGAUAACUAUACAAACUAUAGUAGUUUGGUUUAGAGAAGGCUAUUAAAGCUGUGUUUUUCAGCCAAGGUAAGGAUGGUUUUUGCAUUGUGAGGGGGAGCUACUCACUGUGGUCUAUUAAAGCUGUGUUUUUCAGCCCAGGUGAGGGUGGUUUUUGCAUGGUGAGGGGGAGCUACUCACUGUGGUUAUGAGCUGUGGUGAAGAGGCUGUUACUGGUGAAGAUGAUAGCAUUUUUUUUAUAUGGCUGACGACUCCUUUUGUCAAGAUAAAGUUAGGUUUUUUGCAUUUGUACGAGGGUGAGUGAGCUAGAGAAAAAAAUGUGGAAAAUAGUUUUUGGAUUUUGUUUUUGUCUCCCCUCCCUUUUCUAGUGUGAGAUAACCAAAUGAUUUUUUUUUUCUUUCAAUUACUUGGUUACCAAACAAUUUAAAUUUUUUAAUCCUUCAAUUUCUUCUUUUUUUAUUUUUGGUCCCUUUUUCUAUUUAUUAUAUAUUUUAUUCUUUUUAUUUUUUUUGUAUUUUGAUUUUUUUAAUAAAGCAGCAUCAAUGUCAACUUAAUGAGAAGAAUUAAUUAGUUAUUUUGAAAUGUAUACAUUAACAGUAGAAUACGUUGAAAAUAAAUUUUUAAAUUCUGAAUUUUUUUGAAAAGAUGCGGAUGUCACAAAUACAGCAAGAAUAAUUUUUUAAAAAAUAUAUAUUUAAAAAAACAAGAGACAAAAAAUAAACUAUAAUCAUAAUAUUAAUUUCAAAUAUUUCUAGUAACUCUGUUUAUAAUAGCAGCUGCAAAUAACUUGUGAGAAAGUGCAAAGAGUUUCUUAGACCCUUAUCAGCUGGUUCGGUGAAGAGGGUAUUGCUGAUUGUUCUGCAAAUAACAGGAGUCAGUUUCAUAAUUGAAAUGCUUACCAUUAGUGAAAAUGAAACCAAGAGUGUGCUCCCUAUUUACUAACUAUAGAGUAAAGUUGGGCAUCUUUGUUUCUCUACCUCACAAACUCGAGGCCAUAAUCAUAGUUGCUCGACAGCUAUGGUCUUCUCUAUAGUAUACAAUCUUCUCGCUUGCUUCCCUAUUGAUUUUUGUGGUUCAAAAAUAUUUAAAAAAAAAAUUAAAUUUUUUUUAUUUUUUAUUUACUUCAAAUUAAUAUAUUUUUAAUGUUUUUAGAUUAUUUUAAUAUGCUAAUAUUAAAAAUAAUUUUUAAAAAAUAAAAAAAUAUAUUAUUUUGAUAUAUUUCUAAAUAAAAAAUAUUUUAAAAAAUAAUUGCAAUUAUACUUUCAAAUAGGUGUUUGAUAGCCUGUGUUGUAUUAUGUUGAUUGUGAUUCUAAGAAACUUCAACAAUGAAGUUAUGCUUCCAAAAGUCUUGAAAGUUCAUUUCGAUUCUAUGAUCACAGUUUUCAGUAAUACGAUGUAGCUGUCACUUCACUUUUGUGAUACUAAGAAUGUGUUUGGUAUUGCGGUAGCUGUUGUGGUUGUGGUUUAAAAAAAGUUGUUUUAUAAAAAGUAUUUUUAGUUGAGGUUGGUUUGAAAAAAUAGAUGUUUGGUUAAAACUGUGGUUAAAAUUGAGGUUGAAGAAAAAGUAAUUUUAAUGUGUUUGGUUAAGAAUGCUUUUGAAAUUGAGGUUAUAAAAUAAUUUUAAAAAUAUAUAUAUUAAUAUUGAUGGUUUUUAAUUUAAAUUUUAUGGAUUUAACUAUUGCUAUUACAUCAUGAAAUAAAUCACACUUAAAAAAUUACUUUAACAAAAUUAGAUAAAAUAUUAUCAAGAAUAAAAUUAAGAUUACACUACGAGUAAAUUUAAUUCACCUUAAACUAAUUUAAAAAAAAAUAAAAAAUAAAAAUUAUUGUUCACGUGAAUAGUACUAGUGAAAUCAAUUAACUACAUUGGUGUAAAAAAAAAAGAAUUGUUCAGUGCAUGCCUCCACUGUUUUUUUUUUAAAAAAAAAAACUGUUUGGUGAACAGUAGAGCUGCCAUGCAAAAAGCAGCAAUUUGCUGCUUUUCAUUUUCAUGGGGCGAGAACACAAUAAAUAGAGGGAUCCAUGCAUAGUAAACAAUUUUUUUUAUUUAACCAAAUACUGAGGUAGUGCGUUUGUGAAGAAAUGCAACUUCUACCUCGUAGCCAAACGGGCUGUAAAACGUCCUGUUUUUUAUGACUGCACUUAAUUUGCAUGCUUUUCUGAAUCUUCUUUGUUCUACUUCUCCUGGGAUUCUUUUCUUGACUUUGUUAUGAACUAGUUGCCGACUCACGGGCUGCAAGUCAUAUCCUCAAGUUAUUUGUCUGGUUCUUGAUUCGAGAUUGUAUUUGCUCUCAUAUUGAACUUGAGACAUAUUUGUCUGUUUCAUUUCCUAUAUUUUGAAAUUCCAUAUUCCAUAUUAGCCUCAAAAUCAAAUUGAUGUCCUACUUGUUAUUUAGAAGUUAGAUUAUCUUCUUCUUCUUUUUUGCAGGAAAUUAUUGGGAGAGUCCCUCAAGGGUAUUAAGGGAGCCUUUGACAUUUAAGUUGGGAUCUCUUAUGUAACUUUUGCUGCCUAUCAUUUCUUUCUCUCCGUAAAAACAAAAUGUUCAAAAAUUUACUCCAUUUUUCCAUUCAAAAGCACCCAAAAGAAAGAAAAGUAGAUAUUGAUUGUUUUCUCUAGAGAAAAUCCAUGUGAAUACUUGUGUUCAUGCGACAAUACACCAUCUUCCUCUUCUUCAAUCCUUUAAAUGGUGUUGUCAAGGGCGGAGCCAAGAAUUUUUUUUGUCUUAGGCUUCACAAUAAAAUCUUAAUUUAAAUAUAUUAUUCAAAAUAUUAAAAAAUAAUUUGAAACUACAUAAAAUUAAAGUGAAAGUAAAAAUAACCUCAUUAUUAAAAUUAAACCCUUUUAUAUUUUAUGAAAUAUAAUUUAUCUAUAAAAUCUGAUUCAAUAUUUUCAGCAAGCUCUCGUUCAUCAUAAAAUAUAUUAACUCUUUUAUUUUAUUGUGAAACACAUUUUUAACAUGCUUCAUAUAUGAAAAUUAUCACUCUUUGAUGGUAGUAAGAACAUGCAAAGUCAAAAUAAAACGAAUCGACCUGUUAAUUAAUCAAAUUAUUGUAUUGCGACUUAUUUGUUACGAUUAAUCCCUUACAUAAUUUGAAAAUAGUAGACAUGUUUUGAAAGCUCUCAUGAUGAAUUAUAUCAUUUUGAUAAUACUCUAGCUAAGAUCUCAAAUAAUGCAUCUUUUAUUUAUUGAAAUCUUCAAAAUAAAAAUUAUCAACAAGCUUGCAAAUAGAUUUAAUUUUAAUUAUUUAAAGUUGUCUUUAAAUUCUAAAGCAAAGUUAAGUAUAAAAAGUUUCAUUUUCCAUCAUUAAAUCUAGAAUCAAACUCUUUUAAUUAAAAAUCUAUUGCCGAGUUAAAUAUAUUAUAAUGAUAGUUUUAGUAAACUGUCAUUAAUCCUUGCUACUGACAUGAACAACCUAUACCCUUUUAUAUAAAGUAUUUAUAUGAGGUAUGCCAAUUUUUUAUUGUAUGUAAACAAAUUGCACAUAUGCAAGGAGAAUAUCAAAUCCAACAUCUUUUAAAGUUUAAAACAAUGUUUUAGUAGUUGAAAUAAGAUUAAGUUGAAUUUAUGUGACGGAUAGUACCAUACAAUAAAUGAAAGAAAGGAAAGGUGUGUUGCUUUUAUCAAAUUGUUGAGUUGAAUAUGUAUGGAAACAAGAAAAGUAAUCUAGCACAAGGAAGGAUACAAUUUUCACUUUGGCUCUCUUAACUUAAAAGGAUAGAGAUUUUAAUUUUUUUAAAAAGUGGCUAAUUUAUAGACAUAGCAUGUUUUUCUUGAGCUAAUUUAGUUAAUUGUAAAUUAGAUUAAUUUAAUGUUAGUAUAAAAAAUUAUUGAUAAAAUAUUAACCUGGGCUAUAGCCAGCCAAGUCUUUAAUAUAGAUCCGCUCUUGGGUGUUGCCAAAACAUAUUCUAGGCUACUUCUGCAAUGCAAUGGAUAAACCCAUCACAAUUCCCUUAACAUUCAAGUGUUGAUAUUCUUGGCUUUCUCUGUUAUCAAUAGCUUGACAUUCAUGGGGAAGCAUGGUAAGAUUUAAGAUUAAAUUCAGUUUCUUUAAGAGCAAAAAAGAAAAGGACUAAAGACACUUUUGAAAAAAUAACAAUUAAACUAUUGAUAACAGAGAAAGCCAAGAAUAUUAAACAUAUUAAUAGUUUAAUUGUUAUUUUUUUCAAAAAGUGCAUUAAAGAGAAUGCUCUUACUGCAACCAAAGAACUAAAGACAAUCUUGAUAUUUAAAAAAAUAUGACAAAAGUUAUAAAAUGAUAAAACUAAAUUAUGAUCUUUCUAAAAAGACAACAAAAUUUGACAAAAGGUUACACUUGUAACUUUCCAUUGUUUUAUGCAUUGAACUCUUUUCCGAUUUUUUUUCUUUCGCUUACCUUAUAUAAUGUAAAAUAUUUUGAUAUUAAAUUAAUAAUCAAUUUAAUAAUAAAUAUUUUUAGCUUAUUGUUAAAACAAAAUUGAGAGAUGAAUGCUCAAAUUUGACAUAAAGAAACAGAACCCUUUUCUAUAAAAUAAAAAUGUGCAAAAUUAUAAUUUAGUCCUUUAAAUUUAAAAUUUUUAUUAUUUGAUCCCUAUUAAUUUAGUGCAUUAUAUUCUAGUUCUAAAUUUUAUUUUUAUCGCACUUAUCUUUAGAGGUUGAGAGUGAAGAAAGAAAGUCAUCAAAAAAUUAAAAAAAAAAAAAGAAAGAAAGAAAAAUCUCAAUGGAUUGUGGUAAUUUAAAUAUUUAUGAAUAUAAUAUUUUUUUAUUAUUUUUAUUGUGUCAAGUUUUAUAUUAUUUUCUCUAGUUAAUUGUUUUUUAUUUUUUAUACAAUCACGUUAAAAUAAUUAAAACAUUAUAUUUUUUACUUUAUAAAUUUUUACAAGUCAUGAUAAGUUUUCUUUUUAGGAUAAUGGUGCUCUUGAUAAAUAAAAACGUUAUCUCUAAAAUUAAAAAAAUAAUAAUGAAUAUCAAAAGUGAAGUCUUGGUUAAAGAAAUGAAGUUUAAUCCAAGGAAAUGGUUUUUUUUUCCUUACUAAAUUUAAAUCUUUUGAGUUUUGAUAGAUAUGUAUUUUAAUUAUUUUUAGUUUUUUUAAAAUAAUCAUGAUUUAGAAAAACUCUCAAUGUUUUUUCAAAAUAAUAAAAUCAUAAAUAAUAAAAAUAAAUUUUGGAAGAAAAAAAUACAUUUUUUUCUUCAAUGAAAGAAUAUCCAACAAAAAAACAUCGGCAUGUGCAUGUUUUGCUUUUUAUAAAGAAGAUUUAAUUUUUUUAUUUUAGUUUUUAAUUAGCUGUAACAACUAUUUUCUUAUAAUUUAUUAGUUGAUAUAGUUCUUAAUUCAUAAGUACGUAUCCACAAUAAAGCGUAGGUCCACUUGCUUGUUUUUUUUCUGAAGUUUAUUUUAUUCGUAAUUUGUCUAUUUAUUUUGUUCCAGAUGCUUUGAGUUGCAUGCUGGCCUGUGGACCAUGCCUUAACCUUGUGGGGCCAUGUCAGAUAAAUAAUGUCUUGUGAUAUUUAAGAUAGGGGUACACUAAUUAUUUUUUAUUUGGAUCGCUAUCCCUUCCUUUCCUAAAAGCGCUCUUCCUGGCACCUUCGUAUCCAAUUAAUCACCUCCUUUUUUUAACCAGAGAAGGCGUUGUAAUAACUUGAUAUUAAAAAAUUUAUUUAUUUUAUGAUUUUUUAUUUAAUUUAUGAUUUUUUAUUUAAGUUCCAUGUUGCUCUUAUAAUAAUUAUUGAAAAUUUAUAUGAUCAUUAACUUCAAAAUUUAUAAGAUUAAUUGAUGUAUAUACAAGUUUAUCCAAAUAUUUAUAUUAAUAAAAAUAAUAAAAAAAAAUUACCUUUUUUUUGGUCAUCAACAAGAAUGGAUGAGUAAAGAGACCAAAUUGUGUUAAUAGUAAAAAUCUUAAAAGUAGAAAUUAAUUUGUUUUUAUGUUUAAAAAUGUUUUUAAAAAAAUUUAAAUUUAAAUUUUUUUAAAAUUAAUAUUUUUUUAUUUUUUACAAAAUUAUUUUAAUUUGCUGAUUUUAAAAUUAAUUUUUAAAAAAUAAAAAAUAUAUUAUUUUAAUAUAUUUUUAAAUAAAAAAUAUUUUAAAAAAUAACCGUAAUUAAACUAAAAAUAAAAAAGUAAGAAGAUAGAUUUGUCGGUAACAAUAAAAUAUGUUCUCUCGAUGAAUGAUCUUGUAAUGAAAACAUAAGUUGAAUUAAAUAAAUAAUAAAGUGAAGCCUGAUAUGACAUGAUCAUGACUUUAAAAAUAAUAGGGUGAUUGUUUUGUAAAAUAUUUUUUUAUUUAAAAAUAUAUUAAAUAUAUUUUUUAUUUUUUAAAUAUUAAUACAUUAAAAUAUAUAAAAAAUUUAAAUAAAAAAUUUAAAUAUUAUCCAACUUCUAUUUAAAAAACAAUAAUUGCUUUUUGAAAUGGGAAAGCAAAUAAAAGUCGUUGAAAGCAAUACAUCUAAACAAAUUACAAUCAUGCAGUGCGGGAACUUAAAAUAAAAAUAAUAUAUCUUUUGCGGCAUGAUUGCCCCCACUGACUGCACUACACUUCUUAGUGGUUAAUCGGUCACGUCCAGAACAACUACUGUAACACAUAUAUGCAAAGCACCUGGCAUAAUUCAAUGAUGAUUACUUGCAAGCCACCUAACAUAAUAAAAGGCCGACAUUCAAAAAAAAAGAAAAAAGGCCGACAUUACGAUUGAAAAAUAUUUGUUUUUAAAAAAAAAAUUUAAUUUUUUAAUUUAAUAUGAUUGUGAUAUUUUUAGAUUAUUUUGAUGUAUUAAUAUUAAAAAUAAUUUUUAAAAAAUAAAAAUAAAUAUUAUUUUAAUAUGUUUUAAAAUAAAAAAUAUUUUUAAAAACAAUCGCUGCCAUACUUUCAAAUAAUAUAAUUGAAUCAAAUAAAAUGUAAUUGAAUUUAAUUUAUAAAUAGAUUUAAAUUUAAUAUCUUCUUAUAAAUUUUAUAUUUAAAAUAAAAUGUUAAAUCAUGUAAUUAAAUUUAAUUAUACUAUUUUUAAGUUAGCAAUAAUGAUUAUUUUAUCCUUAAUUUAAAAAUUAUAUUUUUGUUAUAUAAAACAUUUCUUAGUUCGAAUAAUUCAUAAAAAUACCAUGUUAAAUCAUGAAUGAUCAUCUCGUCCAGAAGACCAUCGUUAACUUUUUUCAACUCUUCCAAAGAAUUAAUUAAAUGACCAUAACAAGAAGGAAAAUCUUGAAAACAGGGACAAAGAACAAAAAUAAUCCGUUAAAAUCAAAUCAGAGGCUACCUUUCGGCUUUCGCCCUGUGGAAAACAAUAAUAGGGUUUGUCUUGUUGUGCUGUUAAGGAUAUUUUUUAAAUAUUGUUUUUAUUGUCAAUUUCAGAAGGAGUUAUCAUAGCAAUUUAUAGGUUAUCAACUCUUGAAUUUCAUUUCAAAUUCAAAUUCAUACUUUAACAAAUAUUCAAAAUAUAAAGAUUGAUUUAAUCUUGUGAAUUGAAUUCAAUUCAUAAGAUUCCAAACACUCGGUAAAAUAAAAUAAAAAAUUAAAUUUGAGAUGAAAACUCGUGGACUAUACAUGUAUCGCAUCAUUAUAAUUACUACAUUGAUUUUUUUUUUUUUAAUUCUUUACUACUUUUAUAAUCACUUGUUUGUUAUUAUUGUAAGUUGUGUUGAAUAAAUAUUGAACUUGAUAAUUUAUUUUGAUUUAUUUUUUAUCAUAUUAUUACGCUAUCAAAAAAUAAAUUUUGAUAUUGGGUUGAUACUUGAUUUUACAAAAAAAAAAAUAUUUUUAUUUACAAAAACUUAAAAAUAAAGGGAACAAAAUACAAAGUGAGGGGAAAAUGGAACCUUGUUUUAACCUAAAACUAAUCAUUCAGUUUCUUUUGACAAAAAAGUACCUUAUAUUUUUCUCAAUUACCAUUAUGGACAUUUAGUUUAAAAUGUAUGAGUUUUAGUCUCAAACUUUAUUUUGUUCACAUUUAAGUACUUAAAGAAAGUCAUCGAAAAAUAAUAUAGGGGCGGGGAGAGAGAGAGAGAGAGAGAGAGAGAUAGAGAGAGAGAGAGAGAGAGAGAGAUAGAGAGAGAGAGAGAGAGAGAGAGAGAGAGUCAUUGGUUGUCUACAUUUCAACAAUAAAAAAAAUUAUUUUUUGGUGUCAAUGAGUUCCAUUCGACAAUGAAGUUCUAUUGAAGUGUUUUUUACCUAUAAUCUUGUCGAAAACAAUUGACCAAGGUUGAGAAAUAUAUUUAUUUCCAACUUAAUUUUAUAUUUUUUGAUUUAUUUAGGAUUUUUUGUUAAGGAAUUGGUUUAUUGGCAUUCUAAGAGUGCUUUUUUAGUAUUUCAGGUGAAAAUAGGUUCAAAAUAAGAUUUUCAUGUCCUAAAACUCGGACUCUAAUUUUCUAGUGACCUUCAAUAACCAAAAAAUAUUGUAGAUGAAGAUAGGUUGUCCACCACAAUUGAUGACCUAUCAAAUUGUGUGUGUGUGUGUCUAAAAAUGCAGAUGAUACAUCAUCCAUUCCAAUUUAAAAAAAAUAGCUCAAGCGCGUGGGGCUGAGUUUACAGGUUUAGACGUGCUUGGCCUUUUAGGUAACUAGCAUUGCUUCUUGGGUCAAUUUAAUGAAUAAUGGGUUCAUUUUGGAAAUGUUUUUUUUAUUUUAGUGUUUCAGCCUCUUUUUAUCGUAUUCUCUUAGAACCAAUUUAACAAGUUAAGUUUUCAAUGUGAGAUAGAAAGAGAAAAUGAUGAGAAUGUAAAACAGUGCUUUGUUUUUUUUUUUUUAAUUAAUUGUAUUCUUUAAUAUUGGGUUUACUAGGGAUUAGAUUUUAUAGUUUAUUUCAAUUUGUUUUUCAUAGGGUUGUCUAAGUCUCAUGAUCCAGGUUAUGGAUUUAGUGAUUUAAAACAACUUGACUCGAUUUUUUUUUUAAUUUUAUCCUUUAAUAAUUGGUUGUUUGGGAAUUGAUCUUUAAAAUCUAUUUUGACUUACUUUCUAUGAGGUUAAUUCGGUCUCAUGACCUGAGUUGUGAGUUUGGUGGAUUAACUUAAGUUAUUUUUUUCUGUCCAUUUUUAUAAUUGAUUUUUUUUUUAAUUUCAUCCUUCUAUAUUAGGUUGAUUAAGAAUUCAGAUUUAUAAUUUAUUUUAUUUGUUUUUAUAAGGUUAUAUCGGUCUCAUGAUCCAAAUCAUGAAUUUGGUGAGUUAACUCAGGAUGACCUGAAUUGAUAUUAUAUGUUGUCAUCUCAAUAUUGUUUUUUUUUAUAAAAAAAAUAUAUUGUCUUGAAUUUAUUUUUAGUCAAAAUAUAUUUUCAUCGGUUGUUUGACAUACCUUUAUACAUGUUAGGUCGAUCUGGUUACAUUAAAUCAACCCUUACAUGAUUUAAAAUUAAUACAUGAUAUAGUUCAUGCCCAAAACACAUUGAAUGGACUGGGAUGAUUAUACUUCGACAGUUUGGUUAAUUCACCUUAAAGUUCACAGUUUGAUUGACUCAAUUUGAAUUGACAGGUUCUGAGAAGUAUUAUAUUUUCAAGAAUUUUAUAUUUUUAGUGUAAGUAAUUUGUUUUUAUCAAAUUAGAGAUGUAAAGUUAGUUUUGACAUGUUAAAACUAACAUGGAGAUGCUCCUAACAUUGAAACAAGAAAAAAAUAUCAAGAAACAUAUAUUAAAAAAAUACCAAGAAACAUAUACUUCAUUGGAAUUGCUAAAGAAAUAGAAAAAAAAAACAAUGAAUAAGAAAAGAAUUCCAUCGGCAAUGUUUUAGAAAGUUAAAACGUUAUUAUUUACUAAUGAAAUUGCCGAUGAAAUUAUUCUGUCAGCAAAUGUAAAUAAGUUCUAAUUGACAACCCCCCCUAUUCUUCUUCCUGUGCAAAGAAAAGUAUCAUCAACCAUCUAUUAUCUUAUAAAUCCAGCCACCCUAACCUUUUAACAUCGAUUUACAUCUAUAAUUAAUGUUAGCAUUCGUCAUGAAAUAUUUUGUGAAACUUCAAUAUACAAAGUAAACAAACCAACCCAUUUUUUUUAAAUCCAUUUAUGUUUUAGAUUAAUUUAUUAAAACAAUUUAUAGUAUUUGUAGUUUUUAGUACAUUUAAGUGUUUUAUAGUUUUUUCCUAAAGAAAUUUAUUGUGUUAAUAUUUGUAUGUUACAGUUCGUUUAAUGAAGAAAUUGAAGAAAUAAAAUUGAGUUUGAUUUUAUAUUUUAGGUGUGUUAUAAUUGAAGAAAUGAUGGUUAUUUUAAUGAGUACCAAUCAUAUUUUGUAGAUUUUAUUAUUAAGUUGGAAAUUAGGGGAAAUUGAUUUUUUUUUUUUGUGGAAUUGAUAAAGUCAAUAUUAUUAUAUAUAGGUUUCAUAAGAAAUGCAUGAUCAUUUUUAGAUGUAUCAAGAUUCACCUAAAAAAUUAUCUUCAAAAGGUUGAGGGUUUUAUUAUUUUUGUAAUUUUUAAAUUGAAGAAUAUUAGUACGGAAAAUUAGAUGUUCAUAUGUGAAGUAUAAGAAUAAAAAAUUUCACCAUAAAGAUAUUAUAAUGACGCUUCUACUUAAAAAGGUUUCGUUGAGAAAUACUUAUGUUGAUUUGCACACGGAGAACCUUAUGCUCCUUACGAAACCAUGUUAGAAAUCAUGGUUGGCUUAGCUUCUAGUUCUAACAAUAUAAAUGGGUUGUGGGGAAUAAUAGUACUCAUUAGAGAAGUAUGGUGAUGAAUACAAUAAGAAUAAUUCAUAAUUAUUCAUGUAAAAGUUCAAGUAAUAUCCUUUUAGAUGAAAAAUCAAAUGUAGAUGUAACUAAGUUUUUUAAACUUUUACAAGAUUUUGAUAAAUUAUUAUGGGAUAAGUGCACAGCUUACAAUUUGGUUUGUGAUCUUGAUUUUAUUUUUUUUUUGCUUUGCUUUGGUUUUUUUGCUUUGCUUUGGUUUUGUUUGUGAUCAUGAUUUUGUUUGGUUUGGUUUGUGAUUUAAAGAGAGAGUUUUGAAUCUAUAUACAUAACAGAUGUUGUUUUUUGUGUUUUGUGUGUAGACCAUGUUACUUUUGAUUUUUUUAUAUAUAGUUAUGAGUUUAUUAUUUUUAAAUUAAGAUAGCUACUAUUAUUGCUAGUUCGACCAGUAAUAGUAUUGGUGAUGUUAAUGCUCAUGUUAUUAAUUUUAGGUAUCGAUCAUGAAAAGGUGGAAUCCAUUUUAUGUAAGUUAUUUAUUUUGUUUAGGUUAUUUUAAUAUUUACAUUAAAUGAAAAUGGUUGAUUGUGUGUGAAUUUGUUUUUAGUUUCUAUCAAUAUUUCCUAGAUAUAUGCAUCCUAUAUUGUGUUAUUUCCUAUAAUAUGCUCUCUCAAGUUGAGAGUGAAGGAUGAACCUGAAACUUGAAUUGAAAAGUAGUAGAAGAAGCAGUAAGAAGUGUCUUAGUAAAAACAUCAAGUUAAUUCUAAAAAGAGAUAAAACAAAUCUAAAUAUCAUUAUUGGCAACCCUGUCAUAUAUAAAAUGAUAAUUAACUUCAACAUGUUUAGUACGAACAAAGAUCUUAAAAAGAUUUAUGAAGUUAUAACACAUGUCAGAUAUGGAGAAUAGUCAACAGCCAAGGUAGAGUGAGGAGCUGCAACACCGGUUAGAUUUGGGGAAGAGUCGACAACCAAGGUAAGAGUCUAUUAGGGAGAGGGAAAGAGAAUUUUAAUGUGUUAAGGCUUUAAUACCAAGUUGAAGAGAAAUAAGAGGCCUAACCUAGAAGUUAACCAUUCUUUUUUAAUUAUAUGUAGGGAAAUAUACAAUAGUUAAUGUAGAGAUUACAACACAAGAUUAAGCCUAUCAAUAUUGCAUAGAUACAUACAUCUUAUAUUGUGUAAUUUCCUAUAAUAAAAACGAAAAAAAAAUUGGUUAAUUUAAUUUUUUUUCUCAAUUUGGUUUUUUUUAGUUUUUUUGGUUUAAUUAGGAUUUUAGUUUUUUUGCUCAAGAUAUCUUCAGGUAAUCUUCACUUAAACCUUAAGUACAUUUCUAGAUUGCCUAACGAGAUUCUUAAGGAAUCCUAAUUUUUAAAAAAUUAUCAUUUUUGUUGUGUUUAUGUGUACCGGGAAACCCAACAUUAAUAACUAUUCAAUUUAGUCAUAAAAUUUAUCAUAUCCAUGCCCAAAAAGGCCCAAUCAGGGAGAGAAGAAUUCAAGGUUAGCCAACUGGAUUAUCACAUUAUGAUCAUGUCCAUAAUUCAGGUCAUAAAAUUGACAGUUAAGUAGAUUGAUCGAUGGUGAUUCAAUAUAUCAUCGUCUCAAUAUAAAAAAUAAAAAAUAAACAGGAUGUCAUCUUAAAAUUAUUUUUACACUAACCCAAAUUUCUAUCGGUCAUCUAGGUUAUUUUUACACCCAACAAAUUGAUUAUGUCACAUCCUGGAAACUCUCAUAUGAUUUAAUUUGAAGCUCAUGCUAAACAAAGAAUCAAGUUAGAAGGUUUUAAAUUGACAUGUUGAAUUAGAUUUCAUGACAAUGUCAAAGAGUUCCUCAUAUCCAGCCCAUUUUUAUAUAUUAAAAAACACUACUAUAUUUUUUAAAAAAAACAAUUUUCUCUUCAUUCAAUUUAAUCCUUAUUCUAUAAUAACUUUUCAAUCAUGUCUUAAAUUUCAUCAUACUCGAGCUCAAGUCCUCUUUUUUCAAUUCUCUAAUAACUUUUCAAUGUAGUUUAAAAUUUCAUCACAUCCAACCUCAAUAAAGAUCCAACUAGAAAGAAAAUAAAAAAAAAAAAAAAAAAAUCGACCAACCUGUUUACCACAUUGUGAUCAUAUCUAUAACCUAUUGUGAAUAUAAAUCACAGGUGAAUUUAUGAAUAUUAUGUUUUCUUGCACUUCCCUUUGCCUUAUAUAUCUGUAUUUUCUCUUUGCAGCACAGGCAGUGCCAUUAGUGAAGACAAUAAACUUCAAAAUUAUGAGCUCACUGAUAUUUGGAAUAGCGCAAAGUGCAAACAGAGACAUACUCGGAGAGCUCUACCAACAACCGGUGAAAAGUGUUCUUUCUGUACCGAUCAAUUUCCCCUUCACAUGCUUCAAUCACAGCCUCCAAGCAAGAGAAAAGACCAGAACGAUAAUCUUGUAUCUUAAACAUGAAAAGAGGGCUACUUUGGAGCAUCAAAUCACCAUUCCUUAGCCAGAUCUCUUCACCAUCUUGCUUGGUUUCCUAAAUGAAGACAAUUCUGUUGUAUAUCUGAUGAUGAAAUUGUAGAUAGUGCUAUCAAUAUAAUGAAAGCAGGACAUGACACAACUUCCAUCCUCAGUUUCUUGAUCAAGCUUUUAGUCAAUGAUCCGUCUGUUUAUGGCAGCAUUGUUCAAGGUAUGCGACUAAAUUCUUGAAAAUCUCUAAAAUUUGAGACUGCAGAACAAGAGGACACUGCCAAGAGUAAGGUGUCAAAGGACCUAUUAGCAUGGGAUGAUCUCGCAAGAAUAAAAUAAUUUAUUUUUAAUAUUUAUUUUUAAUAUCAGUGUAUUAAAAUAAUUUAAAAACACUAAAAAAAUAUUAAUUUUAAAAAAAUAAAAAACAUUUAAACUUUUUUAAAAACACUCUUAACACACAAAAAUAAAGACGCCCUGCUAAUUCUGUAUUCCUAAAACAUCUGGUUUUCAUGUGCAAUCGUAGGGACGAAGGGGAAAGAAAGGAAGAAAAAAAAUAAAAUAAAUAAAGACAGAAAGGUUAAUUAGGGCUUCAUUUAACGGUUUUAUUAUUAUUAUUAUUAUUAUUAUUAUUAUUAUUAUUUUGCAUACAAUUGACUCUCCCAAAUCAUAAUCACUAAGAACCUAGCUCCAGGUUAAGUGGGUUUACCACUCAAAGUCGUGACCAGUUCAACUUGCAAUCUCCUUUAUACUAAAAAUAAUAAUAAACCUUGCAACCUCCUAGGUUUUCAGGUUAAAAUAGCCUGGUUAUACCACUAGGAAUAAUCAUUUACUCAACCAAUAAUCAAACGGUUAACAUUUAUUUAAUACUUUAGUGGUUAUUGUGAUACAGUUUAAAAGGAUGAAUUUAAAAAAACUAUAAAUUAUAGCUUUUUCAACUAAAAUUUUAAGAUAUAUUUUUUAAUAAAAUAUAUAUAAAACUAUGAUAUAUGUUGAUUAAUUAUUAAAUACUUGUUAAUUUUAAAUUUGUGGUUGAAAUAAAAAUUAAACUGUACAACAUUGUAUGAUCACAUAACUAAAUAAUGGAGCCUUGGAUGAAAAAUCUAAAUGAAAUUGCUUUCCUAAUAAAAUUGGUGGACAGCGUGAAGAUUGCAUUGCAUCAUGGCAUUGUCUCUACAAAUAUAUGAUAGCUAAGACCAAGUGCUUCCAGCUUUUCCGAGUGUUUUCAUUAUCACAAUUAUUGCACUCGAUAAUAUCUCUGGCUCUCUACAAGUUUGCUUCCGAAUAUCACUCUCUCUUGUCCCUUCUUUUGUCACUGUAACCAAGCUUUUUCCUUGCACAGAUUAUCUCUCACUUCUCUCUUAAAUCUUCAAAUCUGUGUGUGUGGUUCUUGAUCAGGUGGAGCUGGCUACCAUGGAGGUUCAGAACCAAGAGCACCAAAAACCCAACACAGACCAAGUGGUUCUUUCCGUGGAUCAACCAGACUCCAAACUCAGACAGUCACCAUCACCACAGCAACCAGACUCCAAAGCCCCCCUCUCUAAAACCCUGGCAAGAACAAAUACCCUCCGCCGUCUCAACUUCUCCAAGCCCAAAUCUCGUUUCAGUGAGACAAACUACCCUCCCCCUUCCAGGAGCAGCCAUGAAUUCGAAGAAUAUUACCAACUACUAAACCCCCCCGAAAGCGCUUCCUCCAGUGAUGAGGAAGAUGAUGAAGAAUGGUAUGAAUAUGAAGAAGGAGGAGGGGAAGAAGUUGAUGAUGCUGGAGAUUCCAAAAAACAUUCCAAGAACGGAAGGAGAAGGAUAAUAAAGAUAAAAAAGAGAGCCUUGAUUGAGUUCAUAUUGUUUCUAAUAAGCAUGACCUGCUUAAUUCUCUCUCUAACCCUUGAAUCCCUCAGAAACAAGGUCCUAUGGGGUUUACUUUUAUGGAAAUGGUGCCUUAUGGUCCUGGUUAUCUUCUGUGGCCGCCUUGUGUCGGUUUGGCUUGUAGGUUUUCUUGGUUUUCUCAUAGAACGCAACUUCAUGCUCAGAGAAAAGGUACUCUACUUUGUUUUUGGUUUGCGAAAGAGUUUUCAACACUGUGCAUGGCUAGGACUGGUUCUACUUGCAUGGAUGAGUAUGUUCCAUGAUGCCCACAAACGCAACAAGACCUUGAAGAGGACUUUCCGCGUUCUGAUUGCCGUCUUCGUCGGAGCUACAUAUGGUUACUAAAGAUUUUACUCGUCAAGGUUCUUGCUUCAUCUUUCCAUGUUGCUACCUUCUUUGACCGCAUGAAAGAAAGCGUCUUCCACCACUACAUUCUCGUUACACUCUCCGGGCCACCAUUAGAUGAGAAUGAGAGGGAAACUCCCCGUCGGCUGACGCCGAGGCAUUCGAGGAGAUUGCCGGCGAAACAGAGAGAGAUGGCCUCGCCAGACAUGCCUAUAUCAAAAUCCAAGAGGUACGAGUCGAGGAGAAUCGAUAUGGAGAGGCUGAGGAAGCUGACUAAGAUGACUAGGGCAACCGCUUGGAGUGUGAAGAGGUUGGGCAGUUACAUUAAGUCAUCGGGAUUGUCGACGGUCUCGAGGACGGUCGAUGAUUUUGGUAAUGCAGAAUCGGAGAUCAACAGUGAAUGGGAGGCUAGAUGCAGUGCUCAAAGGAGUUUCAGGAAUGUCGCCAAACCUGGUGCCAAGUAAGUUCAAUUUCUUCUGCUAGCCUUUCUGGUUAAUUAAUUAUAUGAACAUUUGAUAUUAAUUAUAUAUUUAUUCCUUUAUACAGUAGAGAUAAUUAACCGAUCUCAAUUAUGCUAGCCUCAAGAUGAAAGUUACAAUAACAAAGUCAAGUUUUGGACAAUUUUCUAUAAACUUAGAUUAUAUUUAGUAUGAUUUUUGUAAAUUAAUUUAAAUUCUCUUUUAAUUUAAAUGAAAACAAGUCAUAGAACUUUUGACUUGGAUCAAAAGUUUAUUAUAAAAUUGAGUCAAAAUUAUGUUUUUUAAUUUAAAUUUGAAAAUUCUGACUUAUAUCUUCCUUUAGAAAAAUUAUUUGAGUUUUUUUUAUAAAUCAUGUUUUGAAAUGGUUAUAACUUAUUUUUUUCAUAAAUUAUUUAUAAAAAAAAACUUUUAGAUUAUGAUUUAAAGUUAAAAAUCAUGUCAAACAAAUUCAAAAUUAUUAAUUUCUGAUGCUUUUCUUAUAAUAAGACAAUAGUUGUUUGCGUUUUCCUAGAAUUUUCUAUAAAUCUAUUUGAGAUAAAUAGUUUUUUUAUGCAAUUUCAAAUAUGAAGAAAGUCUUUGUUUUUUAUUAGUAAAACUUACUAUUUGAAAUUCAACGAAUUUCUUGUUUUCUUGUGAAAUAAUUGAAAUGAAUGAACUUUUUACCAUAAAGUGAAAUUCAACGGAUUUCUUGUUGUAUUAUUGUUUUUGUUGUCUUCUUAUGAAAUAAUUAAAAUGAAUGAACUUUUUACUAUAAAACAAAAUUCAACGGAUUCCUUGUUUUUUAUUUUUUUGUCUUCUUGUGAAAUAAUUGAAAUAAAUAAUCUUUUUACCAUAAAAUAAAAUCCCCCUCCUCCUAUUUUUUUUUUAAAAGAUAGUUUUAUUAAUAAAUAAUAGAACAUUAAAUAAAAAUAUCAAUUUGUUUGAAUUUGAUACAUACAAUAAUCUUCAAUUUAUUAAGAAUUUUUAAUUUUAUCAGCAUUAAUGAAUCUAAUUUUUUUUAUUUUGCUAGAAAUACAUAAAGAAUGGUAAACUUCUUCCCUUACAAACAAAAUUAUAUUUAGAUUAAUAUCUAUAUCUAAAAUUUUAAAAUAAAAAAUUAGAUUCAAUCAUUUCUAGAUAAAUUAUACAUGGUUGAAUUCCAUGUUAUGUGAUUUGCUAGCUUCCAUUAUUUUUAAACUGUAAUCAUUGCUCGUUUUUGUUUUUUUUUGUUUUGUCUUUUUGGUAAAAGACUUUCAACUUUUCGAGUCUAUCGAGGCACAUAAAUCCUUGACUGUUUCUCGGCAGUGGCACAUUUGAUGGUGUGGGGUUGACGUUCAACGUUUUUCAAAAUUCACACCUGGGAAACCUCAACCCUCCUCUGUUCCUUUCUGAUUUUAGCUCUCGAAAGCCAAUCAUAGCCAUACAAAUCAACAAAACAAGGAGUACGAUCAGGAAGGGUAGUCAGUCCGAGUUAUUGAUGGAUAAAUCGGGUAAUUAACAUAUAAUAUAGUACGCUCCUAAUUAUAAAUGGAUAAAAUAAAAAAAUAACUAAUUAACAUGGUAGCAAAAAAAUGUGGUAAAUCAUCGGUGGGUGGUUAGGUGGGGGUGUUGGUAAAUAGGUAUGUUCUCAUAUGAUCUCUAGUUUAACUCUCUACUUAUUAAUAUUUUGAUGGUGAUGAAUCGCAAUAUAUAUAUAUAUAUAUAUAUAUAUAAAUCUUGGUGAAACAAGGUAUUUUUAGCUGUUAGAUAUUUAAUUAAAUGUUAUAUUUUAAAAUUAUGUUAUUAAUUAAAUUCAGAACUAAUAAGUAGAUGAGUUUAUGAGAAAAAUUAUAAAAUUAUCAAAACUUAGUAGUUAGAAUAGCAAUUUCAUAGCUAUUAUAUAUAUAAAAAAAACAUUUAGAAACUCUAUAAAAAAAUUACUAAACCCUGUCAAAACUUUUAACUCACUAUAUGCUAAUUGUUUUUUAAAAAAUUCAUUAUAUAGCUAUCUAGCUGCAAUAAUAUUCUAGUACCUGUAACCAAAAAAACUAAAAAAUUAAUUAAAUUGAGAAAAAUAAAAAAUGUAACAAAAAAUUAAUAAAACCAAAAAAAAAAAAACCAAACUCAAUUCAGUUUAAUUUAAAAAACUAAAACCAAUCAAAUUAAUUCAAACUGAAAUAAAUAGAGUUCAAGCCAGGAGUAUAAAUAUUAAAGUCUCCUUUCUUUUCACCUCUGUACCUCAAUCUCUAUGUUUUAAUUUUGUAUUUUACUUUUAAUAAUAUAAACUGAAUUUGAAUUAAAAUUAAUUGGUUUGAAUUGAAUUUAAUUUAAUUUUAAUUUUAAUUUUAAAAAUAAAUAAAUAAUUUUUUAAUUUAAAACUAAACUAAAUAAAAAAUGUAUCGCAUUACAGACAUUGCAACAGAAGUUGAGGUGGAUUGUUUUAAUUCAUUAUGAUUUAAAGCAAUUAUAUCAGGUAUAUUCAUUUUUUUUCUCAAAUAAAAUUCAGAUUUAUCAUUAAAAUUAUUUAUUAAUCUAUUUUUGCAUUAAGAGAAGAGAAUAUAGCUGCAACUCCCGAUGUCCGAUUUAAAGUAAUGGUGAUUUUGGCAUUUGCUGCUUAAAACUUCAAUCUAUAUCACUCAUUAUAAGUCUCGAGCUGCAUUCUCGAAACUGUUUAAAAAUAAUGUUGGUAUAAUUAUUUUAUAAAGUGUUUUUUAUUUAAAAAUAUAUUAAAAUAAUAUAUUUUUUAUUUUUAAAAAAUUAUUUUUGAUAUCAACGCAUUAAAAUAAUUUUUAAAUAUCAAAAACGUAUUAAUUUAAAGCAAAUAAAAAAAAUUAAAAAUUAAAAAAAUUUUAAAAGCGCUUUUAAAACAUCUUUUCAUUCAGAAAUGUAUCAAAAUAAUGUUUUUUUUAUUUUUUUUUUAAUUUAUUUUUUAUAUAAAUACAUUAAAAUAAUUUAAAAACAUUAAAAAUAUAUUCAUUUGAAGUAAAGAAAAAAUUAAUUUUAAAUUUUUAAAAAAAACUUUUAAAAUUUAAAAACAAAUUGGGUCUUAGAUUUGAAUUCUCUGCGGCUCAUUGUAUAGUUACAUUUUUAGUCCCAGUCUAACUUUGAUGAGUUGUCUGACAAAAUUCCAAUAAUCUGAUCUGUUUCCAUUUUGGAUCAUCAUUUCAGAUUAAUUUUUAUUCUCUAACUUUUGGGUUUCACACGGUCACAAAAGAUAUAAAUAAAAUAAAAUAAAUAAAUAAGCACACGAGCCAUGUAAAAUUUGUGGUUAAUUAGCUAAUUGUGUACCUGUACUACAACUCAGCAAAAUUAACAACAAAGCUUUUUUGAGUUAAAAGACAUGUCCAGUAUUGAAAAUACAUUAAAAACUAAUUUACAAUUCGAGUCAUAAAUGUAAUUAAAUUAAAGAAAUUAGUUUUUAUCAUUUUACAGUGUUCAAAAAAUGAAAAUGCAUUAAAGAAAAUCAACAACGCGAGUUAUAAAUUUAAUUGGAUUAAAUAAAUUGAUUUUUAUUAGUAAUUGAUCUUGAAGAUUUGUUUCAUGCUAUUUUUUAGCUUUUUAUAACUAGAUCAAGGUUGGGAGAGAUCAUUAAUUUUUUUUUUUUGUAUUUUUAAAAUCAAUUUGAGGGUGGUUGGGUUAUGGAAUUAGUUUCUUAAGGUUAUAAAAGCAUGUUUUCAUGUGAUUUUAAGUGAAAAUAAAUUAAAAAAUAGAUCUUGGAGGUCAAAAAUUAAACAUCUUGAUUUUCAAGCCACCUUUGUUGUUGUCAAAUUCUGGGCAGCAAUCAAUAUAUCAUUUGCUUCAAUUUUAUUUUUUUUAUAAAAGGUUUAGGUGCGAAGACCUGAGCCAUCGAGGUCCUGGCCUGCAUCUAGGUUUUUCUUUUUAAAAAUAAUUUUAAAUAUAUAUAUAUACACACACACUUUCUUUUAAAAAUUUUAAUUAAUUAAUAAUAUUUUUUAGAUAUUAUUUUAUUUAGUCCCAUUUAAUUUUUACUUUGUUCUUGAACAAUAAUAGCUCUUUUUUGUAACCCAUUUUUUUUGUUACUUUACUAUGGACGCUAAUUUUUAUUAUUAUAUAAUUAAAUAAAAAAUAGUUUCAAAAAAAUAAAUUUAUCAAACGUAAUUGAGUUCAUGAUCUGAGUUGCAGGUUUAGUGGGUUAACCUGGAUUAAAUCGAUAUGUCACUACCUUAAUAUUAUUAAAAAUGAUCGUCUUGAAUUUUUUUUUUUAAGUAAAACUAUAUUUUUAUCUAAUGUUUUGGUUGCCUUUAAAACUGCAAAGUUCACUAAAUCAUAUCAUAACAACCCCCAUAUGAUUUAAUUUAAAAUCUUGGCUAGGAAAAGAUUCAAUAUUAAGAAGGUUUAAAGGAUGACUAACUAAGUCGGGUUUAAUAAAAAUUUCAAAAAGAUUCUGGCAACAACACACGAGCAUUAUAUAAUUGUUUUAUACAUAUGCUUUAAAUUGAUUAGAUGUUAUUUUAUUAGAAUUAAAAUUUGCUUUUGGAAUGGUGAGAGAAUCUUAUUUAAGAAACUAUUGUUCUUAUAAAAAAAAAUUAAAAAGAAAAAAGCACAUUAAUGAGACAAAGGGAUUGAGUUUGAGAUAAAUCUCUUUUAUCCUUAUUUUAAAUUAUAUUAUUUUUUUGGGUAUGUCUUCUUGAUGAUUUUUUUGGGUAUGACAUAUUUCCUUCAAUUAAAGAUAUUAAUAAGAAAAAGUAGAUUUAUACUAGCAAAUUAUUUUAUUUCAAUCAAAUUUAAAUUAUUAAUAUUCUUGUAAAAAAAUAUUAGUGUCAUAUAAUUAAGUAAACAAAAUUAAAGGUUUUUUGUAGUUUAUAUAUGAUAAGAUAUCUUGGUCUAUAUUUAUUUUUUAAUUUCAUUACUUAGUUUUUUAGUUAGCGUUAAGAUCUCUUUUUAGUAUUUAUUGACACAUAUAAUUCUCAUUCUAUUUUGUUAAAUACAUGAAUAGAUUUUGUGUUAAUGAUAAAAAUAUUUGAAAACAUUACUCUGAUUAUCCUAUAAUUUAAUUAUUCUUCACUUUUCCUUUAAAAAGUUUUUAAAUUACAAUUCACAUUAAAAACUUUAUAAAUUCAUAACAUUUUUCAUUGUAUCUAAAAAAGUCAAUAAAAAGAGUCUAAUUAUUCACAAAAUUUUCAUUAUAUUCUAAUUAAUAACUAAAAAGACAUUCUAUUGUUAAAAUUAUAAAAUUAUCAUAAAAAAAAUAAAAAAUAAAAACUUUUUCCAGAAUUCGACAACCCAAUCCCAAAAAACUCCCUCACAGAGUAACUUUAACGAUAAAUGAGACCUUACAAAAACUAAAUGAGAUAGAAUUCUACUUGGUUGAGCAGCACACCAAAGUUUUGUUCUAUGAAACCACUGCCCAUUAUCCCGGCUUAGAUGUCUCUUCUAAUGGGUGGUUUAAGCAACACCAAAUAUCAAAACUGAACUGUUGCUAAAUAAAUUUGGUAGCUUGGAAUGCAACAUGCGGUUCCAUGUGGCUUGAAAAAUAUUAAAGAGUAAUAUAAAAUUAUUUUUACAAUUUCAUUUAAUAAUUUAAAUUUUGAAUUUAAAAUAGUUUUUAAACAUGAUAUUAGAUAUAAUUUUAAAACCCGGCCCGGCCCGGUAGGUCAACCUGGAACCCGGUCUAUCCAGGGUUGAAACCGAGCCGAGUUGAAAAAAAAACAGGAAAAGAAAAAACCCGGUAUGACCCGACGGGUUGACCCAGUGACCUGGUUGACCAGGCAAGACCUGGUCAAAAACCCGGUUGCAACCUGUUGACUUUUUUUUUUUUACUAAAACGGUGUCGUUUUAAUUUAAAAAAAAAUUUGACCCGGACGACCCAGUGACCCGGUCAAAACUCGGAACCUGGGUCUUGGACCUAGCCGGGUCUAAAAACUAUAAUAUUUGAGUUUUAUUGAUUAAAUGUUUAUGAGUUCAAAUCUCAUUACUUUUAUUCUAAUUAAUAAAAAUUAAACACAAAAUAAUAAAGAUAUCUACUAGUUUCAAACUCAAAAAAAUUUUAUUUGAAGGAGUGUAUUAGAUAAUAAUAUAAAAUUAUUAUUAAAAUUUUACUUAAUAACUUAUAUUUUUUAAUGGAGAUAAUUAUUUAACAAAAACAUCAAUCUAGAUCAUGCAAAGUUUUGUAGUCAUGACUAAACCUCAAAGACGGGAAAAAAUAAAUAUAUGAUGUAUAUAAUCUCAAAUCCACUCGGGGAAGGUGAAUAUUGAUAUAUAAUUGGAAAAAAUAUACAAAAUGAGGGUGGAUUUUCAAUGUUUUCUCCAGCAAAAAAAAGUCCAUCUAAGACAAAUUUCAAUGGCAAUGAUAUGCAUCGAUCCCCAUGUUUGGUAAAGUCAACAACACCCACCUAGGCCAGCGGUGGCUGUUGAUUGAAGGCCACUUUCAGCCAAGUAAUCUCAGUAGGGUUAGUGAAGGUAGAUCAUGCAGUAGCCAGGAGAAAAUUUGGAAAUUUAGUGUGAGGGUUAAGAUUUACAAAUUAGGGAUGAGAGUUUGUGAGUGUUUAUGUUACAUUAUAUAUUGGAGGACAUUUGUUUUUUAUUUAAAUUUAAAAUUUAUAUUAAUUGGGAAUUAAAUUGUAAUUUCUAAAAGAAUAAAGAUAAAAUACAUGUGAUUAGAGUAAUUUUCUAAUCUUUUUACUAUUUAAAAAUAAUUUAUUUACUUAAAAAAAACUAUUAUCGUCUACAGUUAAUACGGACAGUUAUUUAGUGAUCACUAAGUGUGUAUUUUUGUUGACAUAUUUUUUUUUUUGAAUGUUUUAAGGUAUAUUGAAGAGGAAGAUCUACUAAGGUUCUUAAAGACUAUAGAGGUUCAUUCCAUAUUUCCUCUCUUUGAAGGAGCUGUUGAGACUGGAAAAAUCACAAAUCCUCUUUCAGAAAUUGGGUGGUAAGCAACCCAAAACCCACAUUUAAAAAAAAAAAAAUGGAUCUUAAAGCCCUCACCUUACUAUGUUUACACAUAAUAAAGAAGAAAAUCAUAAAAAAUAAUUUAUUUAUUUAUUUAUUUUUGGUGAUUAAAGGAUGCUUGCUUUCAAAUCAGGAUCAAUAAUUUGUUGAGUACUUGACAUAGAAGAUUCAAUGAUUAAUUAAUUAUCACUUCAUCACCCACAUUAACCCAUAUGGUGUGCAUUUGAUUCCUGAAUUCCAUACACAAUACCAUUUUCCCUCUUUAACCUCUAUAAUCAAGGACUAAAAUGAGAUUAACUUUUCUUGUAUUUAAGGGAAAGCAUAUCAACAAUUUAUUCAAAGACGUAUAAUUUCCUUCUUUGCUAUGUUUAUGUUUUCAAUUGCUAGGUGCAUGCCUAUGUUGAGAGGAAAGCAUUGGCACAUUCCUUGAAUGAUACCAAGGUUGCUAUCCAGCAACUUCACAGGUUAGCAAGUGCAAUAAUGACUCUAAUUAUAAUUGUGAUCUCUCUUCUGGUGACGGGAUUGGCGACAACCAAGGUUUUAUUUGUUUUCACAUCUCAACUGCUACUCGUGGGGUUCAUGUUCCAAAACACUUGCAAAAGUAUCUUUGAGUCCAUCAUCUUCGUCUUGUCAGCAUCCUUUUGAUGUGGCGAUCGUUGUGUUGUCGAUGGCAUCCAGGUAAAGAAAAUAUAUUAAUUCUUAAAGAUGGUUGAGUGAGAAGAUUUUAUAUAUUUGUUUUCUAAUAUGUUGCAGAGGUCGUGAAGAUGAACAUUUUGACGACUGUGUUUACGUAUGAUGCGGAGAAGAUAAUAUCCCAAUUCUGUUCUUCUUACAAAGCCUAUCAGUAAUUUCAGAAGAAUCCAGACAUGGGGGAUGGUAUGACAUCACCAUUGAUGUCUCCACUUCUGUUGAUGACUUCAAUGCUCUAAAAAAGCUAUACAAAUGUAAGUUAUUAAUCUCAUUGCAUUCAAAAUAUUUCUAGUGUUAGACACAAUUACUUCUUAAAGUACUUAGCUUGCCUAAAC
RNAcentral lists this long non-coding RNA (33391 nucleotides) under Populus tremula. RNAcentral describes it as "long non-coding RNA (PTRE_LNC000831)". The record is from RNAcentral. Lineage: Eukaryota; Viridiplantae; Streptophyta; Magnoliopsida; Malpighiales; Salicaceae.